CGUGUAGGCGGGCCGAUGCGUCCGUGGCUGAAAUCCCCCGGCUCAACCGGGGAACUGGCCCGGAUACGAUCGGCCUGGAGGGGCGUAGGGGGAGCUGGAACUUCCGGUGGAGCGGUGAAAUGCGUUGAGAUCGGAAGGAACGCCCGUGGCGAAAGCGAGCUCCUGGACGCCUUCUGACGCUGAGACGCGAAAGCCAGGGGAGCGAACG
This 208-nucleotide ribosomal RNA is filed under the name uncultured bacterium. RNAcentral's name for it is "partial 16S ribosomal RNA". It matches the Rfam family "Bacterial small subunit ribosomal RNA", at positions 568 to 774 of the family's 1533-position model. The record is from RNAcentral.